Molecule: non-coding RNA, 30 nt
Filed under: Mus musculus (house mouse)
Lineage: Eukaryota; Metazoa; Chordata; Mammalia; Rodentia; Muridae
Source: RNAcentral
UAAUCAGCCACAUAUUUCAACAUAUCCGGG